Molecule: ribosomal RNA, 695 nt
Filed under: Brevundimonas sp.
Lineage: Bacteria; Pseudomonadati; Pseudomonadota; Alphaproteobacteria; Caulobacterales; Caulobacteraceae
Description: bacterial SSU rRNA
Rfam family: Bacterial small subunit ribosomal RNA
Source: RNAcentral
UCAACCUGAGAGUUUGAUCCUGGCUCAGAGCGAACGCUGGCGGCAGGCCUAACACAUGCAAGUCGAACGGACCCUUCGGGGUUAGUGGCGGACGGGUGAGUAACACGUGGGAACGUGCCUUUAGGUUCGGAAUAGCUCCUGGAAACGGGUGGUAAUGCCGAAUGUGCCCUUCGGGGGAAAGAUUUAUCGCCUUUAGAGCGGCCCGCGUCUGAUUAGCUAGUUGGUGGGGUAAUGGCCCACCAAGGCUACGAUCAGUAGCUGGUCUGAGAGGAUGACCAGCCACAUUGGGACUGAGACACGGCCCAAACUCCUACGGGAGGCAGCAGUGGGGAAUCUUGCGCAAUGGGCGAAAGCCUGACGCAGCCAUGCCGCGUGUAUGAUGAAGGUCUUAGGAUUGUAAAAUACUUUCACCGGUGAAGAUAAUGACUGUAGCCGGAGAAGAAGCCCCGGCUAACUUCGUGCCAGCAGCCGCGGUAAUACGAAGGGGGCUAGCGUUGCUCGGAAUUACUGGGCGUAAAGGGAGCGUAGGCGGACAUUUAAGUCAGAGGUGAAAUCCCGGAGCUUAACUUCGGAACUGCCUUUGAUACUGGGUGUCUUGAGUGUGAGAGAGGUAUGUGGAACUCCGAGUGUAGAGGUGAAAUUCGUAGAUAUUCGGAAGAACACCAGUGGCGAAGGCGACAUACUGGCUCAUUACU